RNAcentral lists this ribosomal RNA (916 nucleotides) under uncultured bacterium. RNAcentral describes it as "bacterial SSU rRNA". It matches the Rfam family "Bacterial small subunit ribosomal RNA", at positions 8 to 916 of the family's 1533-position model. The record is from RNAcentral.
AGAGUUUGAUCAUGGCUCAGAUUGAACGCUGGCGGAAUGCUUUACACAUGCAAGUCGAACGGCAGCACGGGAGCUUGCUCCUGGUGGCGAGUGGCGAACGGGUGAGUAAUGCGUCGGAACGUACCGAGUAAUGGGGGAUAACGCAGCGAAAGCUGUGCUAAUACCGCAUACGCCCUGAGGGGGAAAGUGGGGGAUCGCAAGACCUCACGUUAUUCGAGCGGCCGACGUCUGAUUAGCUAGUUGGUGGGGUAAUGGCCUACCAAGGCGACGAUCAGUAGCGGGUCUGAGAGGAUGAUCCGCCACACUGGGACUGAGACACGGCCCAGACUCCUACGGGAGGCAGCAGUGGGGAAUUUUGGACAAUGGGGGCAACCCUGAUCCAGCCAUUCCGCGUGAGUGAAGAAGGCCUUCGGGUUGUAAAGCUCUUUCAGCUGGAACGAAACGGUACAGGUUAAUACCCUGUGCUAAUGACGGUACCGGCAGAAGAAGCACCGGCUAACUACGUGCCAGCAGCCGCGGUAAUACGUAGGGUGCGAGCGUUAAUCGGAAUUACUGGGCGUAAAGCGUGCGCAGGCGGAUUGUUAAGCAAGAUGUGAAAUCCCCGGGCUUAACCUGGGAAUGGCAUUUUGAACUGGCAGUCUAGGGUGCGUCAGAAGGGGGUGGAAUUCCACGUGUAGCAGUGAAAUGCGUAGAGAUGUGGAGGAACACCAAUGGCGAAGGCAGCCCCCUGGGAUGACACUGACGCUCAUGUACGAAAGCGUGGGUAGCAAACAGGAUUAGAUACCCUGGUAGUCCACGCCCUAAACGAUGUCAACUGGUUGUUGGGGGAGUGAAAUCCCUUAGUAACGAAGCUAACGCGUGAAGUUGACCGCCUGGGGAGUACGGUCGCAAGAUUAAAACUCAAAUGAAUUGACGG